RNAcentral lists this ribosomal RNA (207 nucleotides) under uncultured eukaryote. RNAcentral describes it as "partial small subunit ribosomal RNA". The record is from RNAcentral.
CAUCGCCCACGCCUUAAUCUCCCUGAACGUGAAGUUCAGUAUAUCAAGGAAAUACAGCAUCGGCGCGUUCUUGAAGUUCCCGUCCCGCCCAUCAAGCCAUUCCUUAUACACCUCGUCGGUGAUCAUGUUGCGCUUGCGGAACUGGUGCAUGAUGUGCUCGCGGUUCGGGUCGAGGUUCAAGAACAUCUUGAGCGUUUCGGCGCGGUC